AUGAGUAAUGAUGCCUUCUUAAUUUGCUCCUGGAACGUACGUGGUCUUGGCGAUAACGAUAAAUGCUCCGACGUUCUCUCCGAACUGGUGACGACUAAGCCGCAUAUAACCCUCUUGCAAGAAUCAAAACUCGAAACUCUCCCUGAUUCUAAAUUAAAAUCCUUUCUGCCACGAACACUUGAUCAAGCUUUCUCGCUGCCAGCGGUCGGUUCCGCGGGUGGUACUAUCUCUGCCAUCAACUCUGCCUUUUUCCAAGUCGUUUCUUACUCACAUCUAACCUUCUCCUCUACCCUACUCCUACAAUCAACUGUGUGUGCCCAACACAUUGCCAUCACCAACAUCUACGCUCCAUCAUCAUGUUCACUCAAGCAAGCCUUUUUAAACGAGCUCUCAUCCAUCUCACAGCCCGAUGACACCCCCUGGAUUAUCGCUGGUGACUUCAAUCUCAUCCGCUUCCCCUCUGACAAAAACAACCACGCGUUCCACCACGCCGAAGCCAAUGCCUUUAACCAAACCUUAGAUGAUCUAGCUCUCAUCGAACUACCCCUACUUGAUCGCAGGUUUACCUGGUCGAAC
This 576-nucleotide ribosomal RNA is filed under the name Triticum aestivum (bread wheat). RNAcentral's name for it is "partial small subunit ribosomal RNA". The record is from RNAcentral. Lineage: Eukaryota; Viridiplantae; Streptophyta; Magnoliopsida; Poales; Poaceae.